GUUUGGUUAAGUUAGAAAGGGCGCACGGUGGAUGCCUUGACACUAGGAGUCGAUGAAGGACGGGACUAACGCCGAUAUGCUUCGGGGAGCUGUAAGUAAGCUUUGAUCCGAAGAUUUCCGAAUGGGGAAACCCACCAUACGUAAUGGUAUGGUAUCCUUAUCUGAAUACAUAGGGUAAGGAAGACAGACCCAGGGAACUGAAACAUCUAAGUACCUGGAGGAAGAGAAAGCAAAUGCGAUUUCCUGAGUAGCGGCGAGCGAAACGGAACAUAGCCCAAACCAAGAGGCUUGCCUCUUGGGGUUGUAGGACAUUCUAUACGGAGUUACAAAGGAACGAGGUAGACGAAGCGACCUGGAAAGGUCCGUCGUAGAGGGUAACAACCCCGUAGUCGAAACUUCGUUCUCUCUUGAAUGUAUCCUGAGUACGGCGGAACACGUGAAAUUCCGUCGGAAUCUGGGAGGACCAUCUCC
RNAcentral lists this ribosomal RNA (471 nucleotides) under Bacillus anthracis (anthrax bacterium). RNAcentral's name for it is "partial 23S ribosomal RNA". It matches the Rfam family "Bacterial large subunit ribosomal RNA", at positions 1 to 460 of the family's 2925-position model. The record is from RNAcentral. Lineage: Bacteria; Bacillati; Bacillota; Bacilli; Caryophanales; Bacillaceae.